This 458-nucleotide ribosomal RNA is filed under the name uncultured bacterium. RNAcentral describes it as "partial 16S ribosomal RNA". It matches the Rfam family "Bacterial small subunit ribosomal RNA", at positions 338 to 795 of the family's 1533-position model. The record is from RNAcentral.
CCUACGGGAGGCAGCAGUGAGGAAUAUUGGUCAAUGGGCGAGAGCCUGAACCAGCCAAGUCGCGUGAGGGAGUACUGCCCUAUGGGUUGUAAACCUCUUUUGUCGGGGAGCAAAAGCCGGACGUGUCCGGCUGUGAGAGUACCCGAAGAAAAAGCAUCGGCUAACUCCGUGCCAGCAGCCGCAGUAAUACGGAGGAUGCGAGCGUUAUCCGGAUUUAUUGGGUUUAAAGGGUGCGCAGGCGGAUUUUUAAGUCAGCGGUAAAAUCGUGGGGCUCAACCCCAUCCAGCCGUUGAAACUGGGGAUCUAGAGUGUGCGAGAGGUAUGCGGAAUGCGUGGUGUAGCGGUGAAAUGCAUAGAUAUCACGCAGAACCCCGAUUGCGAAGGCAGCAUACCGGUGCACAACUGACGCUCAGGCACGAAAGCGUGGGUAUCGAACAGGAUUAGAUACCCCUGUAGUC